GUUAAUGUAGCUUAAGCAAAUAAAGCAAGGCACUGAAAAUGCCUAGAUGGGUGAAACCACUCCAUAAACA
RNAcentral lists this transfer RNA (70 nucleotides) under Dicotyles tajacu (collared peccary). RNAcentral describes it as "Pecari tajacu (collared peccary) tRNA-Phe". It matches the Rfam family "tRNA". From Rfam's summary of the family: Transfer RNA (tRNA) molecules are approximately 80 nucleotides in length. Their secondary structure includes four short double-helical elements and three loops (D, anti-codon, and T loops). Further hydrogen bonds mediate the characteristic L-shaped molecular structure. tRNAs have two regions of fundamental functional importance: the anti-codon, which is responsible for specific mRNA codon recognition, and the 3' end, to which the tRNAs corresponding amino acid is attached (by aminoacyl-tRNA synthetases). tRNAs cope with the degeneracy of the genetic code in two manners: having more than one tRNA (with a specific anti-codon) for a particular amino acid; and 'wobble' base-pairing, i.e. permitting non-standard base-pairing at the 3rd anti-codon position. The record is from RNAcentral. Lineage: Eukaryota; Metazoa; Chordata; Mammalia; Artiodactyla; Tayassuidae.